Oncorhynchus tshawytscha (Chinook salmon) is the source of this 416-nucleotide long non-coding RNA. NCBI's taxonomy places the organism in Eukaryota, Metazoa, Chordata, Actinopteri, Salmoniformes, Salmonidae. The record is from Ensembl.
CCCCUCAGACACUAUAAACCCGCAGGCAGGGUAACCCCACAGGCAGGAUAACCCCACAGACACUAUAACCCCACAGGCAGGAUAACCCCACAGACACUAUAACCCCUCAGACACUAUAAACCCACAGGCAGGAUAAGACCUCAGACACUAUAACCCCUCAGACACUAUAACCCCACAGGCAGGAUAACCCCACAGGCAGGAUAACCCCACAGACACUAUAACCCCACAGGCAGGAUAACCCCACAGGCAGGAUAACCCCACAGACAGGAUAAUCCCAGAGACACUAUAACACAACAGACACUAUAACCCCACAGGCAGGAUAACCCAACAGGAAGGAUAAUCCCACAGAGACUGUAACCCCACAGGCAGGAUAACCCAACAGGAAGGAUAAUCCCACAGAGACUGUAACCCCACAG